Molecule: ribosomal RNA, 742 nt
Filed under: Meloidogyne incognita (southern root-knot nematode)
Lineage: Eukaryota; Metazoa; Nematoda; Chromadorea; Rhabditida; Meloidogynidae
Description: partial large subunit ribosomal RNA
Rfam family: Eukaryotic large subunit ribosomal RNA
Source: RNAcentral
GGAAAGUUGCAAAGCACUUUGAAGAGAGAGUUAAAGAGGACGUGAAACCGGUAAGGUGGAAACGGAUAGAGUCGGCGUAUCAUUCAAUUAUUCAGUUACAUUAUUUUUAUGUUGUGACCUCUGAGCUCCAGAUUGGGACAGAGGGAAUCAGCAUAAUUUUUUGUGGUGCAUUUACUUGAUUGGUGCUUGGGGAUGUUUGAGGCAGAUUUGUUUCCGUCGUUUUGAGGCCAGCUUGCUGGUACCCAAACGGUGUUAGCAUUUUUUGUCUUGGGCAUUUGAGUAUGGCUCACGUGUAUUUAUUGGACAGAUCUGAGUGUAAGUUACGGUCGCAUGCGACACGUGCUUUUCAAUUAGUUCGGUCCAGUUAAUGCUCUCGUACUCGUUCCCCAUGUAAAAGCCGGUCAUCUAUCCGACCCGUCUUGAAACACGGACCAAGGAGUUUAUCGUGUGCGCAAGUUUUUGGGUGUUAAAAACUUAAAAGCGAAAUGAAAGUAAAUGACUCUUUAGAGUCUGAUGUGCGAUCUUGUAAAAAAGUGUAGCAUGGCCCCAUUCUAACUGUUUACAGUAGGGUGGCGGAAGAGCGUACGCGGUGAGACCCGAAAGAUGGUGAACUAUUCCUGAGCAGGACGAAGCCAGAGGAAACUCUGGUGGAAGUCCGAAGCGGUUCUGACGUGCAAAUCGAUCGUCUGACUUGGGUAUAGGGGCGAAAGACUAAUCGAACCAUCUAGUAGCUGGUUUCCUU